CCUACGGGCGGCAGCAGUGAGGAAUAUUGGUCAAUGGCCGUAAGGCUGAACCAGCCAAGUCGCGUGAGGGAAGACUGCCCUAUGGGUUGUAAACCUCUUUUAUGCGGGGAUAAAGGUGUCCACGUGUGGAUGUUUGCAGGUACCGCAUGAAUAAGGACCGGCUAAUUCCGUGCCAGCAGCCGCGGUAAUACGGAAGGUCCGGGCGUUAUCCGGAUUUAUUGGGUUUAAAGGGAGCGUAGGCCGGUCUUUAAGCGUGCCGGGAAAUUUUGUGGCUCAACCAUGGGAGUGCGGCGCGAACUGGAGACCUUGAGGGCGCGGAAGGCAGGCGGAAGUCGUGGUGUAGCGGUGAAAUGCUUAGAUAUCACGAAGAACCCCGAUUGCGAAGGCAGCCUGCCGCAGCGUUACUGACGCUGAAGCUCGAAAGCGCGGGUAUCGAACAGGAUUAGAUACCCCUGUAGUC
RNAcentral lists this ribosomal RNA (460 nucleotides) under uncultured bacterium. RNAcentral's name for it is "partial 16S ribosomal RNA". It matches the Rfam family "Bacterial small subunit ribosomal RNA", at positions 338 to 795 of the family's 1533-position model. The record is from RNAcentral.